UCCUUUCUGGCGAGCCGUCAUGCCCUUUACUGGGUGUGGCGGGGAGCCAGGACUUUUACUUUGAAAAAAUUAGAGUGUUUAAAGCAGGCCUACGCUUGAAUACAUUAGCAUGGAAUAAUAGAAUAGGACCUCGGUUCUAUUUUGUUGGUUUCUAGGACCGAAGUAAUGAUUAAUAGGGAUAGUUGGGGGCAUUAGUAUUUAGUAGCUAGAGGUGAAAUUCUUGGAUUUACGAAAGACUAACUUCUGCGAAAGCAUUUGCCAAGGAUGUUUUCAUUAAUCAAGAACGAAAGUUAGGGGAUCGAAGACGAUCAGAUACCGUCGUAGUCUUAACCAUAAACUAUGCCGACUAGGGAUCAGACGAUGUUAAUUUACUGACUCGUUUGGCACCUUAUGAGAAAUCAAAGUUUUUGGGUUCCGGGGGGAGUAUGGUCGCAAGGCUGAAACUUCAAGGAAUUGACGGAAGGGCACCACCAGGAGUGGAGCCUGCGGCUUAAUUUGACUCAACACGGGGAAACUCACCAGGUCCAGACAUAGGAAGGAUUGACAGAUUGAGAGCUCUUUCUUGAUUCUAUGGGUGGUGGUGCAUGGCCGUUCUUAGUUGGUGGAGUGAUUUGUCUGCUUAACUGCGUUAACGAACGAGACCUUAACCUGCUAAAUAGUUAUGCCAACAUUCGUUGGUAGCCAACUUCUUAGAGGGACUGUCGGCGAUUAGCCGACGGAAGUUUUAGGCAAUAACAGGUCUGUUAUGCCCUUAGAUGUCCUGGGCCGCAGCCCGCUACACUGAUGA
RNAcentral lists this ribosomal RNA (787 nucleotides) under Mucoromycotina sp. RNAcentral describes it as "SSU rRNA". It matches the Rfam family "Eukaryotic small subunit ribosomal RNA", at positions 697 to 1509 of the family's 1831-position model. The record is from RNAcentral. Lineage: Eukaryota; Fungi; Mucoromycota.